AUCUAUGGCCAUAUCACACUGAACGUGCCCCAUCUUGUCUGAUCUUGGAAGCUAAGCAGGGUCGGGCCUGGUUAGUACUUGGAUGGGAGGCAGAGGAGGAAGAAAUUAGGUUUGAGAUU
This 119-nucleotide ribosomal RNA is filed under the name Microcebus murinus (gray mouse lemur). Lineage: Eukaryota; Metazoa; Chordata; Mammalia; Primates; Cheirogaleidae. The record is from RNAcentral.